This is a long non-coding RNA of Homo sapiens (human), 2734 nucleotides long. RefSeq lists it as uncharacterized. The record is from RefSeq and is a predicted model, not a curated record. Lineage: Eukaryota; Metazoa; Chordata; Mammalia; Primates; Hominidae. The transcript has 3 exons.
CGCGCGCGCGCGCGCGCACACACACACACACACACACACACACACACACACACACACUCCAAGGCUGAGGGAUGAAGAGACCUGUCCAGGACCUAGGGCCCCAUCUUUCCACCUCAAUGCAUAGGGCCCAGUAUUAACUGAUGCUCUCUCCCCACUCCUAGCCUCACUUUUAACUUUCUGGAACUUGCCUACCACUGCCCAAGUCACUGUUGAAGCUGCAGAAGGCAAGGAGAUUCUUCCACUCACCCACAAUCUGCCUUAGGCUUGGCUACAACUGGUACAAAGGGGAAUUACAGGAUAUGUACUAGGAACUCAAGUAAUUACCCCAGGACCUGCCACAGAGGCUGAGAGACAAUAUACCCCAAUACAUGUCUGCUGAUACAGAAUGUCACCAACAAUGACACAGGAUCCUACACCCUACAAGUCAUAAAAACAGAUCUUGUGAAUGAAGAAGUAACUGGCCAGUUUCACGUACACAGUGAUGUCUCAUGAGCUCUGGGUGUUGGGGGUCAGUUCUGCUUCACACACACAGGAUUUUCAGGCCUGGGCUGUGCCUGUGUCCCCCUCUACAUUACAUCCCAUUUGGGGGUUUGGACAUUUAGUGCAAGACACACACAGGGGAGACAAACUUCCACAGAUCAGAAUUUCUUUCCUGCAUCCAGACCCUGCAGGCACUUGCUACAGAGGAAGGACAGUCUGAUGGGGUUGGGGGGAGGCUCAGUAAGGGGAGGUCAGUGUCAGUUCCCCCUCCUGGGUCCCCUCCCCAUGGACGUUCCUUGUAGGACCAUGUCAGAUCCUGGAGUGAGGGGACCCCUGGGAAGCCCCUGUUCAGAAACUCAGCCCUGGAAACCCCUGUCCAGUCCCCUGUCCCAGGAUCCUGACUCCAUGUGACCCUGGGAAGCCUGUGCCGGGGCUGGGUUGAGGCAUCUUGGGCAGGGCUGACUGGGAACAAGGAUUUACCAGCUGUCCAAGGGCCAUGGCUCUUGCAGCUGGUAGCCAGCCAGGGCUCAGCCCCCAGAGCCUCAUCUGGGCAAGGGCAAAGCCUCGUCCUUCACAUGAGACUUGGUAUGGAGAAGACAGGUAAGCUCCCUAGGACAUUAGCCGACUGCCCUGGGGAACUUAGGAGACUCCAAGGGAAGGUCAGCAUCCCCAGGGGAGGAAUAGAGAAGAGAGGAUGUUCCCAGCAGCUCAUUGUCCACCAGAGAUCAGGCCCAGGGAACACUCUGUUGGAGGCAAAUAAUCAGAGACGGUGUAUUCAGGCGGUUCCUUGGUACCAACCUUUAGGUCAGGUGAUCGUGAAUAUUUUAAAAGUAAUUCACAGACAACAUGGCAAGCCACUGACCAUUUAUCAUUGUUGGCAGAAAAAUCGGAGAUCUGUACGUUUGGAAAGGAGACUUUAUUUCAUAUAUUUUUCAUUUUAUUUUUCUAUUUUUAUUUUUUUUUAGAGACCGGUUCUUGCUCUGUCUCCCAGGUUUGAGUGAAGUGGCUACUCACAGACCACUGAGGCGUGGUAUUCUCCCCACCGAGCUGUGAAACCCUAAGAAGAAGGGAGCUGAACCAGUGAUUGUGAAACAGCAUCAUUCAUCUGGGCUCCUGUGUCAGUUGGUCUGGGGUCCACAGAUACCUUAAGGACCCAGGGAUGGAGGAGAAGACGUGCCCUCAGCCCACUUUCAGUUGAGCACCUCCACUGAUUGUCCACAGGGUCAGUGGCUCCGACCCCAUCUGAGUCAGCAACACCAGAGUCACAGAAGAAAAGGAUGUUGUGAUCCUGACCUGCCCCACAGAUGACUCUGGAACCUUAUCCAGUGGAUCUUCCAUGACCAGCGUCUGUGACUCAUGGAGAGAAUGGAGCUGUCCCAGGGCCACUGUAUGCUCAGCAUAAACCCCAUCAGGAGAGAGGAUGCUGGGGAGUAUCAGUGUGAGGCCUCCACCCAGGUCAGCUCCAGGAAAAAUGACCCUCUCAGACUGACUGUGAAACAGGAAACAUCUGAGUCCCCUCUUAGAAGUUAUUAAACCCUAAAUCAAAUAUUCUUUGUUUGGAGGCAUUUUAUUAUAAAAACUUGAUAUUCAUAUACAUAAACUAAUAUGAAGUUAAAAAUUCAUUAUACACCUACUGUUUUUAGCUUGAUCUUGCAGUAAAUCUUUAGCUUCAUUGAUUGUGGCUACUAUAUAAGGAGACCCUCUUUUGUCUGCGUGAUUUAAGAGCAUAACAUGUUAAUGAGCAUCUCUUAUUUUUUUCUUUAUUGGCAGUAGGGCUUACCCUACUAUUACUAGUGUUCAUUCAUUAUCUAGUAUUAAUGCUGCUUCCCGUUUUGUCAUUUUGGGUUCAUAUCCACCUCUGUAGUAAUAAUCUCUGAAGGCAGAUUUUGGUAGACUUUGAAACACUUGUUCUACUUGAGGUUUUAUGUGCUUCAUGGCUUCGCAAAAUGUAACAGCUUGCAAAUCCUGCAGCAGCGGUCAGUUCAGCUGCUACCACUGCACAGGCCAUGGCUCCAGCUUGGCUCCCCUGCCACCACCAGGAGGGUGGAUCAUCCCAGCCCAGAGGCCGCACCCACCACCUACUUGGCUUUACCAGAGAGCAAUGCAGCAGCCACCACAGUAGUCACAAACUGCCCAAGCACCUUUUUCCUCUUUAAAGUGGUGGUGAUGAUGCAUUUACUUUAUCGAGCUAUUGUGAAUAGUCAAUGAAAUCAGGUGACUUGCAUUGAAUCAAUAAAAAUGAAACACCUUGGAA